UUUCCUGCACUUGUUUCUCUCUUUGUUUUUUCUUUCUUAGAAUUUGUUUUUGAAACUGUGUUUUUGAAACUCUGUUCAAUUUCUCUCUUUGUUCAAUUUGUUUUUUCUUUCUUAGAAUUUCCUGCACUUCUUAUAAAUUGAUUUAGGUUUUGAAUUGGUUAUUUAGUAGUUAGGUUUUGAAUUUAGGUUUUAAUUAAGUUGUUUAAGGGGUUGGUAUCUAAUGUGACAGGAAGAAAGUAGUGAGGAAGAAAGGAAUAAGGAUUGAUCUUCAAAUUUGGGAUAGUUUGUUUGAGAUAUGGUGAACCACGAGUAGAACAUGUUUGUGAAUUUGUCUCAGUGAAUAUAGGUACACUGCUGUGAUUAUCAUUUGGUUAUGAAGUGAGCAUGUAAUAGUUACUCACCAAUUUUGAACGAGAAUUCAAAUUACUUACUAGGGCUAUCCCUUAAAUUCUUGAUAUUCUGCUUGCAUUAUAAUUAAUUAUCCAUGUUCUUAUGAGAUAUUAUGUCAUAUAAUGCAAGCUAGUGAGGUUUUAAUUGGUGAUUUCCCAAUAUUUUUCAUUUCUUAGACCUUAAUUGAUGGUUGUGAUCCUAAGCUUUUAUUUCCUGUCCUCCUUUCUCUGUUCUAUCAUUUCUAUAUAUGAAGUUAGUGUUAAGAGAAUGUAUGUACAUGCUUGGUCAACUUCAUUUUGCAGGUGCUAGAGUAUCUGGCUGUGGGAAAGAUACUGACAUUUGAACAUAUCAAUGGUGGUCUCCCAUGUCAUGGAAUGGAGAGGUCUAAGAGUCCUUGUUGUUGAUGAUGACCCAACAUGACUUAGGAUCCUUGAAAAGAUGCUCAAGAAGUGUUCCUAUGAAGGCAUGACCGGUCCAAGGCGGUAAAAAUCUUAGUAAAGGAUUUGAAAGUGUUUGCUACUUUUAAUGAAGAAUUGUUCAAAGAAAUCACACAGCUUUUGACAUUGGAGAAUUUUAGGUUUGGGUAUAUAUAUUGGCAUCUUGUGGGUUUUGGUGUUAUCGUUGUCCAAAAAGUGAGCAUUGAUAGGAUUUCGAACAAUUUCCAAUUUUAAAAUUGUAAAUAGGCUACUUGAAUCUGUAUAUAGGACAAUUGUUUAUGUUGUUGUCUUCCUGGGAUGUGUUCUGUUCCAUAGUGCUCCAUUGGAUGCAGGGACAAUUUUCACAGUUCUUGCAACAUUGAGGAUCAUGUCAGAACUAGUUAGGAUGAUCCCUGAGGCUCUCUCUAUUCUUAUCCAAGUUGUGGUAUAUUUCGAUCGGCUCAAUACCUUUUUGCUUGCUGAAGAGUUAGGCAGUAAUAAAAUUGCAAGGAGUGUUAAGCAAAGUUCAGUUGGUGACAACAAUGCUGUAGAAAUUGAAGAUGAAAACUUUACCUGGGAUUCCAGACCACCUGCUGAGGGCAAUGAUUGUGAAGAUCUAAAAUACAAUACAUGAUGUCUUGUAUGAUGGGGACAUUUGGUUAUGUUGCACUGGAGUAGGCAUGCAUUGGAAUGCUGACUGAGAAGAGUGAUGUUUAUAGCCUUGGGAUACUUAUUAUGGAAAUAAUUACCGGAAGAAGUCCCGUUGAUUAUAGUAAAUCCCAAGGAGAGAUUAGAGGCUAUAACCAAUAAUAGUAUACAGUUUUGGUUUUAAUCUUCUUACACUGUUCUAUGCUGAUUAUUUUCUCUCUUUUUCUAUUUUUCUAACUAGAAUUUGGUAUAUUUGCAGGUUAAUUUAAUUGAAUGGUUGAAAGCUAUGGUUGGCAAUAGAAAUCAGAGGAACUCAUUGAUCCGAACCUUCCUGAAAAGCCAUCUUCAAAGGUUCUUAAGCUUUGCUCUGUUGGUUGCUCUUAAAUGUGUUGAUCCAGAUGCCACAAAGAGACCUAAAAUCGGACAAAUAAUCCACAUGCUUGAGGCCGACGAGAUCCUAUUCAGUGAUGAACGGAGGACUGGAGGGGAAUCGUUGCGAUCCCAUGGCAAUUAUCAUCAUGAGCAAAAGGACUCUAACAGAGAUAGAAAGCGAAUAGGUAAAGAGAUCACUGAUUGAAGUGAAGAUGAUAAUAGCAGUAAAAAUCUUGUCCAUCCCACUAGGUUGAGAUGAUAGUUGUUAAAUGGUAAAUGUAGCUAUGUAUUUAUUAUUUUUGGUUUUAGUAGUUUGCCUAUAUUAAUUUCUACCUCAAUCUGAACAAUAUGCAAUGAGUGUAUUUUUGCUGCAUAAUUUUUCCUCCCACCACAAUUUGGGAUUCAUUGUAUACUCAUUCAUUAUUACUAAAAAUCAAAAUUUUGAUGUCGUCCUUCUGAUUUAUAAGACAAAAAGUAGCUCAAGUGUUUUAUAAAAAGUAAUAAUAUUUUCAAGUUGCUCAAA
Arachis stenosperma is the source of this 2349-nucleotide RNA transcript. It is a transcript of the gene named probable serine/threonine-protein kinase At1g01540, with no coding region annotated. NCBI's taxonomy places the organism in Eukaryota, Viridiplantae, Streptophyta, Magnoliopsida, Fabales, Fabaceae. The record is from RefSeq and is a predicted model, not a curated record. The transcript is spliced from 6 exons.